This 253-nucleotide ribosomal RNA is filed under the name uncultured bacterium. RNAcentral describes it as "partial 16S ribosomal RNA". It matches the Rfam family "Bacterial small subunit ribosomal RNA", at positions 524 to 776 of the family's 1533-position model. The record is from RNAcentral.
UACGUAGGGUACAAGCAUUAAUCGGAAUUAUUGGGCGUAAAGGGCGCGUAGGCGGCCUGAUAAGUAGGGGGUGAAAUUCUGCGGCUUAACCGCAGGACUGCCUUCUAAACUGUCGGGCUGGAGCACGGUAGAGGCAGAUGGAAUUCCCGGUGUAGCGGUGGAAUGCGUAGAGAUCGGGAAGAACAUCAGUGGCGAAGGCGGUCUGCUGGGCCGUUGCUGACGCUGAGGCGCGACAGCGUGGGGAGCAAACAGG